UGGAUUCAGAGCAUGGGUUUGUUUACAAAGCGAAAGAAACGUCAUUUUAGAAUUAACAGUUUUCCCACUAAUUCCACGUUUUUCAAGUGAUAAUAAACUUGUAGUAGCCCAACAUGCAGUGUAGUUAGUUUGGGUCGAUUGGUCAGUCUUUUCAGGCUAUGUGUACCUCCUUUUUGGGAAAUUACUAUAUGCAAAUAUAUUCUAACGUGUUCCGACCUGUUUAAAUUGUACAAUUUACCCGGCAUACCUUUCAGUUUUAGUUGGUGUACAAAAUGCAUCAUCACCGA
RNAcentral lists this long non-coding RNA (287 nucleotides) under Mytilus galloprovincialis (Mediterranean mussel). Lineage: Eukaryota; Metazoa; Mollusca; Bivalvia; Mytilida; Mytilidae. The record is from RNAcentral.